AUGCUCGGGCGCGCGGGGGCCGCCAAGAAGGCGAGCAAGUUCGAGGACUCGGACAGCAGCAGCCGCAUUUCACGGCCCAGGGCCAUGUCCGAGCUGCCGCACCGGCUCGCCACUCGCGUGCCAACGCGCCCGAGGACGGCGACGGUGGCCGUGGGCGCGGAGGCGAGUGGCGGCGCGCGUCACCGUGGUGCCGGCGUCGGCCGAGGGGCGGCGCCCCGCAGCCCACUGCACGAGAAGAAACCCGCAGAUGCGAUCGCUGGUGGUGGCGGUGGUGCAGGGCCGCGGGCGGCGGAGCUGGAGGCCAAGCUGGGGAGGGCGCACGACCAGCUGGCGGCCAUGCGGGAGCAGCUCGCAGCCGCCGAGAAGGCCAGGAAGGACGCGCGCGGCGCCUUCGCCGAGGCCAAGAAGCGGUUCGCCGCGAACGCAAAGAAGAGGGAAGCCGCCGCUCCGGCGCCGGUCGAACAGGAUACCAAUGUGCGGCCGCCAGAACAGAGGCAGCAGGAAGAGGAGGCAGAAGUUGUCGCGGACGACGUUGCAAAUGGUGACGGCGAGGAGAGAAGAGGCAUGGUCGACCCCGAGCACAAUGAGUCCCGGGUUGAGGAGGUGGCCGAGAAGACGACUGAUAAUGGCCAUGAGGUGAGCAACAGUAUUGCCGUCGUUGGAGACGACGGUGGUGGCAACGAGGGAAACCCGGAGGCCGACCAGCUGUGGAGCAAGCUUGUGGCGAAAGACAGGGAGGUGUACGAGCUGAGGGCGAAGCUGAUGCUGAAGGACAUGGAGGUCGACGAGCUGAGAUUGGAGCUGACGGCGAAGGACGCGAACAUCGGCAUGCUGACGGCAGAGCUGGUCGCAAAGGAUGCCGAGUUCGCCGCUCUCAGAGCCGAGAACGCCGAGCUCACGAAGACGGCCUCCGACGCCGCCGAUGCCGGCAGGAAGACGACGGCCGCGAAGGCGAGGGAAGCCGAGCGCGCGCUGAUGGACAGCGCGGCGCGGGAGUCCCGGCUAGCCGAGCGACUGAGGGAGUCGGAGCGUGCGCGGGAGGCGCUGGAGGCCGAGGCGCGCCGCAUCCGCGUCCAGAGCGAGCAGUGGCGCAAGGCGGCCGAGGAGGCCGCGGCGGUGCUCGGCGGCGCGGGUCACCACGUUGGCGCGGAGGAGACGGACGAGGACAAGCAGCGGGACGCGGGAGACGGGGGCUCCGGUGGGAAGAGGAAGCCGGCCGGCGGCGCCGUGCGGCUGCUCGCCGACCUGUGGAAGAAGAGGGCGUCCAAGUGA
This 1272-nucleotide ribosomal RNA is filed under the name Triticum aestivum (bread wheat). Its description in RNAcentral is "partial small subunit ribosomal RNA". The record is from RNAcentral. Lineage: Eukaryota; Viridiplantae; Streptophyta; Magnoliopsida; Poales; Poaceae.